GAUUUCAAGUCACCAGUUGAUGCAGCCACUUCUGGGGCAAAAAUGAUGUGUCGGAUUUACCAGAGUUGAGUAACACUGUGAAAGUACAAGAGAGGGAAAUGUAGGAAAAAAUCUGUAGCUGACACAUUUUAGGAAGGUAAUACGUCAAAAUGGAGUCGUUAUCAGAGUUAAGACUGAGUUGUCUGAACACAGGAGUUUGAUCUGGAAUCUGAAGUGCAACACCAAGAACAGCUUAUCUGAGGGUAUAAGUCACGAGGGAGAAAGCCACCUCACUCAUCACCAGCACUGCCAUGCUCAGAGGAGGAGAGUGGAAAGGGGAAGAGAAAGGGAGGAAAAAAUGUACAAAAAGAGCUUCACAGAAGAAAUCUUGACCAUGAAGUCAGUCUUGUAUCUCUCCUCCAAAAGAAGGGAACUUGAAAUAAAGGCUUCAAGAUAGUGUGUACUUGCAAGCAAGAGUGUGAGGUUUCUAUGGAGUCCAAGAACAUCGGGGAGAGAUGUGGAGAAGCUCUGAAGUCCAGGAAUUUCCCACUUCCAUGUGGAAGGAAACAAACCAUGAAACUCCAUGAUUCCCCUAUUUUCUCUUCCUUUCCUGACAUUAACUUCCCAGACACAUUCAGCUGAUUCAUAAAGAUUCAAGAUUCAUAAAGGCUUUGCUUCAGUUUCUCAGGAACUCUGGCACAUGCUUGACUGUGACAAUUAAGAACGCACCCGUUGUUUCUAAU
Molecule: long non-coding RNA, 722 nt
Filed under: Anas platyrhynchos platyrhynchos (common mallard)
Lineage: Eukaryota; Metazoa; Chordata; Aves; Anseriformes; Anatidae
Description: lncRNA (ENSAPLG00000029524.1)
Source: RNAcentral